UUUAUUAUAGGAAGCCCAAAGGAAGGAUAUCUCUCGCGUGUUGGAAAAGUGAAGCCUACUUUGCUCACCUUUCCUCCGAUUUAGCAUCCUCCAAGUGGACCCAGGGGGGCCAUCUGGUGAGCGAAAUAAUGACACCUCCUACUUCUCUCUCUCCUACUUUCUAAUAUGGGGAUUACUUCUCAAACGAAUUUGCUACAGAACCGGGGUGAAAACAAAACAAAGCAAACUCACAAACAAACAAUGGCCUCCAUCUUUCAAUCUGAUUCCAUUCCUUCGCAAACGAAAUCAUAUCGAUAGAAACGUAAACAAAUCCGUGUUUUCAAAUAUCGCCACUAGACGAUAAAUUGGCUCCCGUGGGUCCACUUAGGGCGGAGCCAAAUAAGAGGAAGGGAACCCAAAUUGGCUUCCAAAAAAAGCCCAAACCGUUGGGCUUCCUAUAAUAAAGUAGGCUAUGUUCGAACUGGAAGUCCCUACUACCGUAUCUAUCCACAGUAUCCGUACUCCGUAGUGCCCUCAUGAACUCAUUGCUGACUGCUUGUGCUUCGUUAUUAGUCGUUACUGUGUAGUGUAUAACUGUCACAUACUCACCAUUGUGAUAACAAAUCUUUACUCCUGCACUAUCAAAGAAAACUCUGUUUUUAAUUUCAACAGCGAUUUUCAAUGGCCGAACAAGCUGUUGCUUCUGAUAGGCCGACUUCUGAUAUUGCUGUCAAAACUGAAACCGAAUUUGACUUGGAGUUCGAAAUUUUUUUACUAAGUGUUUCUGAUUUGAAUCAUCUUUUGAGUCAAAAAUUAUUUACGUGUAAAGAAUAAAGAAUAUCCCUGAAGGAAUUUAUAAAAAAGCCAAUUUUGUUUUGGGAGAAUUAGCCAAUUUAGAAAAAAAUGAAGCACUAGAGGGCGCCAUAAUAACAUUUUUUAAAAAUUCAUCAGUUAAAGAAGACAAAAAAAGCCAUUCAUCGAGCAAUUACUGUAGAGGAAUCUAACAUCAGAAAAAAUACUGAAAAAAUUAUUCUAAUUGAGACCAGACGAAUCAAAUUAGACAAAGAAAUCUUGCGGCUUCAAGGUCAACGGAAGAAAAAUGAUGGUUUGAGAAAACUGAUCCAGAAACGAGAGGAUGAAAUUAAAGUUUUGAAUGUCAUAAAAGAAGAAUCUAUUGAGAUAAAAAGGAAAAUUAAAGUUGAACGAAUAUCAAAAUCAUAUGGUAAAGGAAAUGGCUAAAGAAAAACAAUAAGAGAUUCUUGGAUUGGAUAAUUUUUUGGUUGCUUCUCGCUUGAGUGGAUUCUGUUGAGACUCGUGAUGCACGUUUAUUCAACUUACACGAGUCGAGAGAGAGAAUACAAAUUAGCACGGGAGUGAGAUGGAUCUACGCUGCGACCGUCUGCUGAGCUAGUCGCGUGGAGACUGCUCGACCGUCUGCUCUGUCAGCCGAGAUGGUGGGUCGGGUGUGUGUGCCCUCUGGCGGGCGAGGUUACAACAUGUCUUUUUCUUUUCCUUUUUUUUUUUUUUUUUUUUUUA
Daphnia pulex (common water flea) is the source of this 1515-nucleotide long non-coding RNA. RefSeq lists it as uncharacterized. The record is from RefSeq and is a predicted model, not a curated record. The transcript has 3 exons. NCBI's taxonomy places the organism in Eukaryota, Metazoa, Arthropoda, Branchiopoda, Diplostraca, Daphniidae.